AUGAUCCUCCCGCCUCGGCCUCCCAGAGUGCUAGGAUUACAGGCAUGAGCCACUACGCCCGGCCUGGAGCCCAAUUUUAAGAUUGGAGUUUUAAGCAGGAGAGCAUGUAAAGGACCCUCUUCCUGCACCCCAAAUGACUACUGGAAUGUCAAGAAUUUCUUUACAACAGGAGAUUGCUAAGCAAUAGCUGUAAUCUUGAUAGAACCUAGAAGCAUCACUGUGAAAACAUCAUAAUACAAGGUCAAAGCAUUACAAGUAAUUCCAGACAGCAUUCUUAAUAAUAGUUCCUGUUACUAGGAUGUCGGUUUUGGUUAGACUGAGAUUUUAAUUAGCUACUGCUCACUAAGGUCUCCAUGAAGAAGACUUUCCCUUUUAUAGUGUGAUACAAGGUAGGAAAACAGUAGGAGGCGGCAUAUGGCGCGUUGGCAGUUGAGGAAACAGUAGAAACGAGCAGGUCUUUCUGCCCACCCUUCACCCCUGAAGCAGGCCCUGAAGGAAUUCUGGCCUUGUCUGAGGUGGGCCACAGACCCUCAUUUGAGAGGCGACCUCCCUAGAGCUGGAAGUAUGUCCCGGAAGAUGUCCAGAGAUGCCAAGAAGAGUCCAAACACACAGGCCUCCUCGCUGCGCUGACCGUGAAAUCCUUUUGCCUUCCAAUCAUACUUCUGCAUGACUCACAAAAAAUUCAAGUUUCCCCUGUUUUCUUUGGGUCUUCGUUUCCGAAGGCUCCCGUGCACGCCCAAAACGUCAGUAAACGCGGAUGCCUUUCUCCUGUCAA
Molecule: non-coding RNA, 775 nt
Organism: Microcebus murinus (gray mouse lemur)
Lineage: Eukaryota; Metazoa; Chordata; Mammalia; Primates; Cheirogaleidae
Source: RefSeq, a predicted model, not a curated record